CGCUCGCUAUGCUCGACCAUAGAUGACAAUGAAAGCACCAAUGAAACAGUAUAAUAGUAUUGAAACAAAAAUAGAGCAAUUACAACAGAAAUUUGAAAAGAACCAUCCACAAGAUUAUCAAGUAGAAAAGGAAAGACAAUUAACGGUAAAGAGCAGCAACCACGAUCUCCAUUUCAGCUAAUGACGAUCACUUGAGAAUGAAGUACAAGAAGGUUUUAGAAAU
RNAcentral lists this long non-coding RNA (223 nucleotides) under Glycine max (soybean). Its description in RNAcentral is "long non-coding RNA (GMAX_LNC002382)". Lineage: Eukaryota; Viridiplantae; Streptophyta; Magnoliopsida; Fabales; Fabaceae. The record is from RNAcentral.